Molecule: ribosomal RNA, 760 nt
Filed under: uncultured Alphaproteobacteria bacterium
Lineage: Bacteria; Pseudomonadati; Pseudomonadota; Alphaproteobacteria
Description: bacterial SSU rRNA
Rfam family: Bacterial small subunit ribosomal RNA
Source: RNAcentral
AGUCGAGCGCUUCCUUCGGUGAGGAGCGGCAGACGGGUGAGUAACGCGUGGGAACAUACCUAAUAGUACGGAAUAACAGUUGGAAACGACUGCUAAUACCGUAUACGCCCUUAGGGGGAAAGAUUUAUCGCUAUUAGAUUGGCCCGCGUUGGAUUAGCUAGUUGGUGAGGUAACUGCUCACCAAGGCGACGAUCUAUAGCUGGUCUGAGAGGAUGAUCAGCCACACUGGGACUGAGACACGGCCCAGACUCCUACGGGAGGCAGCAGUGGGGAAUAUUGGACAAUGGGCGCAAGCCUGAUCCAGCCAUGCCGCGUGAGUGAUGAAGGCCUUAGGGUUGUAAAGCUCUUUCGCUAGGGAAGAUAAUGACGGUACCUAGUAAAGAAGCCCCGGCUAACUUCGUGCCAGCAGCCGCGGUAAUACGAAGGGGGCUAACGUUGUUCGGAUUUACUGGGCGUAAAGCGUACGUAGGCGGAUUAGAAAGUAAGGGGUGAAAUCCCGAGGCUCAACCUCGGAACUGCCUCUUAAACUUCUAGUCUAGAGAUCGGGAGAGGUGUAUGGAACUCCUAGUGCAGAGGUGGAAUUCGUAGAUAUUGGGAGGAACACCAGAGGCGAAGGCGGCCACCUGGACUAGAUCUGACGCUCAGGUGCGAAAGCGUGGGGAGCAAACAGGAAUUAGAUACCCUGGUAAUCCACGCCCGUAAACGAAUGAAUGGCUAUUUGUCGGGAUUUUCCAUUUCGGGUGACGCCAGCUAACGCAUU